This 446-nucleotide ribosomal RNA is filed under the name uncultured bacterium. Its description in RNAcentral is "partial 16S ribosomal RNA". It matches the Rfam family "Bacterial small subunit ribosomal RNA", at positions 43 to 523 of the family's 1533-position model. The record is from RNAcentral.
CAGGCUUAACACAUGCAAGUCGAGCGGAGAUGAGGUGCUUGCACCUUAUCUUAGCGGCGGACGGGUGAGUGAUGCGUGGGAACGUACCCUUUGCUACGGAAUAGCUCCGGGAAACUGGAAUUAAUACCGUAUGUGCCCUACGGGGGAAAGAUUUAUCGGCAAAGGAUCGGCCCGCGUUGGAUUAGCUAGUUGGUGGGGUAAUGGCCUACCAAGGCGACGAUCCAUAGAUGGUCUGAGAGGAUGAUCAGCCACAUUGGGACUGAGACACGGCCCAAACUCCUACGGGAGGCAGCAGUGGGGAAUAUUGGACAAUGGGCGCAAGCCUGAUCCAGCCAUGCCGCGUGAGUGAUGAAGGCCUUAGGGUUGUAAAGCUCUUUCACCGGAGAAGAUAAUGACGGUAUCCGGAGAAGAAGCCCCGGCUAACUUCGUGCCAGCCGCCGCUGUAA